Molecule: ribosomal RNA, 327 nt
Filed under: uncultured bacterium
Lineage: Bacteria
Description: bacterial SSU rRNA
Rfam family: Bacterial small subunit ribosomal RNA
Source: RNAcentral
AACGAACGCUGGCGGCAUGCCUAACACAUGCAAGUCGAACGAAGUCUUCGGACUUAGUGGCGCACGGGUGCGUAACGCGUGGGAAUCUGCCCUUGGGUGCGGAAUAACUUCUCGAAAGGGAUGCUAAUACCGCAUAAUGUCGUAAGACCAAAGAUUUAUCGCCCAAGGAUGAGCCCGCGUAAGAUUAGCUAGUUGGUGGGGUAAAAGCCUACCAAGGCGACGAUCUUUAGCUGGUCUGAGAGGAUGAUCAGCCACACUGGGACUGAGACACGGCCCAGACUCCUACGGGAGGCAGCAGUGGGAAUAUUGGACAAUGGGCGAAAGCCU